This 534-nucleotide ribosomal RNA is filed under the name uncultured bacterium. RNAcentral describes it as "bacterial SSU rRNA". It matches the Rfam family "Bacterial small subunit ribosomal RNA", at positions 777 to 1310 of the family's 1533-position model. The record is from RNAcentral.
AAUAGAUACCCGGGUAGUCCACGCCGUAAACGAUGAGUGCUAAGUGUUAGGGGGUUUCCGCCCCUUAGUGCUGCAGCUAACGCAUUAAGCACUCCGCCUGGGGAGUACGGUCGCAAGACUGAAACUCAAAGGAAUUGACGGGGGCCCGCACAAGCGGUGGAGCAUGUGGUUUAAUUCGAAGCAACGCGAAGAACCUUACCAGGUCUUGACAUCCCGCUGACCGCUAUGGAGACAUAGCUUUCCCUUCGGGGACAGCGGUGACAGGUGGUGCAUGGUUGUCGUCAGCUCGUGUCGUGAGAUGUUGGGUUAAGUCCCGUAACGAGCGCAACCCUUGUCCUUAGUUGCCAUCAUUCAGUUGGGCACUCUAAGGAGACUGCCGUGCAAAUACGGAGGAAGGUGGGGAUGACGUCAAAUCAUCAUGCCCCUUAUGACCUGGGCUACACACGUGCUACAAUGGACGGUACAAACGGUUGCGAAGUCGCGAGACGGAGCCAAUCCGAGAAAGCCGUUCUCAGUUCGGAUUGCAGGCUGACC